GGUUAAGUUAGAAAGGGCGCACGGUGGAUGCCUUGACACUAGGAGCCGAUGAAGGACGGGACUAACACCGAUAUGCUUCGGGGAGCUGUAAGUAAGCUUUGAUCCGGAGAUUUCCGAAUGGGGAAACCCACCAUCCGUAAUGGGAUGGUAUCUUCACUUGAAUACAUAGAGUGAUGAUGGCACACCCAGGGAACUGAAACAUCUAAGUACCUGGAGGAAGAGAAAGCAAAUGCGAUUUCCCAAGUAGCGGCGAGCGAAACGGAAACAGCCCAAACCAAGAGGCUUGCCUCUUGGGGUUGUAGGACGCUCUAUACGGAGUUACAAAGGAGCGAGGUAAAUGAACAGGCCUGGAAAGGCCGGCCAUAGAAGGUAACAGCCCUGUAGUUGAAACUUCGUUCCCUCCUGAGCGGAUCCUGAGUACGGCGGAACACGUGAAAUUCCGUCGGAAUCCGGGAGGACCAUCUCCCAAGGCUAAAUACUCCCUAGUGAUCGAUAGUGAACCAGUACCGUGAGGGAAAGGUGAAAAGCACCCCGGAAGGGGAGUGAAAGAGAUCCUGAAACCGUGCGCUUACAAGUAGUCAGAGCCCGUUAACGGGUGAUGGCGUGCCUUUUGUAGAAUGAACCGGCGAGUUACGAUCCCGUGCAAGGUUAAGCUGAAGAAGCGGAGCCGCAGCGAAAGCGAGUCUGAA
This 689-nucleotide ribosomal RNA is filed under the name Ectobacillus ponti. RNAcentral describes it as "Bacterial large subunit ribosomal RNA". It matches the Rfam family "Bacterial large subunit ribosomal RNA", at positions 1 to 687 of the family's 2925-position model. Lineage: Bacteria; Bacillati; Bacillota; Bacilli; Caryophanales; Bacillaceae. The record is from Rfam by way of RNAcentral.